GGUAGCUGGUCUGAGAGGACGAUCCCCCACACUGGGACUGAGACACGGCCCAGACUCCUACGGGAGGCAGCAGUGGGGAAUCUUGCGCAAUGGGCGAAAGCCUGACGCAGCAACGCCGCGUGCGGGAUGAAGGCCUUCGGGUUGUAAACCGCUUCCAGCAGGGAAGAAAUUGACGGUACCUGCAGAAGAAGCCCCGGCCAACUACGUGCCAGCAGCCGCGGUAACACGUAGGGGGCGAGCGUUGUCCGGAUUUAUUGGGCGUAAAGAGCUCGUAGGCGGUUCGGUAAGUCGGGUGUGAAACCUCCAGGCUCAACCUGGAGACGCCACCUGAUACUGCUGUGACUAGAGUCCGGUAGGGGAGUGUGGAACUCCUGGUGUAGCGGUGAAAUGCGCAGAUAUCAGGAAGAACACCAGCGGCGAAGGCGGCACUCUGGGCCGGUACUGACGCUGAGGAGCGAAAGCGUGGGUAGCAAACAGGAUUAGAUACCCUGGUAGUCCACGCCGUAAACGUUGGGCACUAGGUGU
This 525-nucleotide ribosomal RNA is filed under the name uncultured bacterium. RNAcentral describes it as "bacterial SSU rRNA". It matches the Rfam family "Bacterial small subunit ribosomal RNA", at positions 282 to 823 of the family's 1533-position model. The record is from RNAcentral.